Molecule: ribosomal RNA, 468 nt
Filed under: uncultured bacterium
Lineage: Bacteria
Description: partial 16S ribosomal RNA
Rfam family: Bacterial small subunit ribosomal RNA
Source: RNAcentral
GACGAACGCUGGCGGCGUGCUUAACACAUGCAAGUCGAACGGAAAGGCCCUGCUUUUGUGGGGUGCUCGAGUGGCGAACGGGUGAGUAACACGUGAGUAACCUGCCCUUGACUUUGGGAUAACUUCAGGAAACUGGGGCUAAUACCGGAUAGGAGCUCCUGCUGCAUGGUGGGGGUUGGAAAGUUUCGGCGGUUGGGGAUGUACUGGCGGCUUAUGCGCUUGUUGGUGGGGUAGUGGCUUACCAAGGCUUUGACGGGUAGCCCGCCUGAGAGGGUGACCGGCCACAUUGGGACUGAGAGACGGCCCAGACUCCUACGGGAGGCAGCAGUGGGGAAUAUUGCACAAUGGGCGGAAGCCUGAUGCAGCAACGCCGCGUGCGGGAUGACGGCCUUCGGGUUGUAAACCGCUUUCGCCUGUGACGAAGCGUGAGUGACGGUAAUGGGUAAAGAAGCACCGGCUAACUACGUG